Non-coding RNA from Odocoileus virginianus texanus, 649 nucleotides. Lineage: Eukaryota; Metazoa; Chordata; Mammalia; Artiodactyla; Cervidae. The record is from RefSeq and is a predicted model, not a curated record.
ACAAGCCACAACGGAGACGGUGGGGAUUGGGACUAUCAGGCCUCCAAAGGCUUCCGGACCAUCUCGAAGAAGACGUCGAAAUGGGUGGAAGGUGCCUCUGGCUCCCAUGCUGGGUGGCCGGAGCUUCUGCAGCUUUGUGAGCAGCUGUAACCAAGGAACGUAGCGGAAGCUGUGUAAGAGAAGAGCGUCUUCCGUCUUCACCUGUUGGAACAUCCCCCCUUGGGCGCCAGCUGCCAUUGAGAAGCAGCAAGAAAGAUGUCCAACCUAUUCUUGAGCUCCAGCCUAACAUUUGGUUAUUUGUUCUUUACCCAAAGUCAAUAUUUUGGAAGAAGUUUGAACCAAAUCAUUCAUGCAUUCUCAGGUUUCGUGCAUGAAAAAUCCCCACAGUUUUCCACUUAAAAAGAAAUAAAAAGUCUGAGCACUAUGUACUGAAAAGCUAUUAAAGGUUGUAGGCUGUAAACUCCAAACUUGGCAGGAUGAAGUGGUCAUGAAAGAAGGAAGCUCAAGUCAAGGCUGAAUCAAGUAGCCAAAGCUUGUGAAGUGUUCAAGGCAUGCAGACCAGAGCUUGUGGGGGGCACUGGAUGGUGAAAGCCUGUCACGAGUGACCUGUCACCAAACUGGAUCCUCCAGACAAGAUCACUUGCCUCUU